This 282-nucleotide ribosomal RNA is filed under the name uncultured Streptococcus sp. RNAcentral's name for it is "partial 16S ribosomal RNA". It matches the Rfam family "Bacterial small subunit ribosomal RNA", at positions 201 to 465 of the family's 1533-position model. The record is from RNAcentral. Lineage: Bacteria; Bacillati; Bacillota; Bacilli; Lactobacillales; Streptococcaceae.
CUAAAGGAGGCCUCUGAAUAUGCUUCCGCUUGAAGAUGGACCUGCGUUGUAUUAGCUAGUAGGUGAGGUAACGGCUCACCUAGGCGACGAUACAUAGCCGACCUGAGAGGGUGAUCGGCCACACUGGGACUGAGACACGGCCCAGACUCCUACGGGAGGCAGCAGUAGGGAAUCUUCGGCAACGGGGGCAACCCUGACCGAGCAACGCCGCGUGAGUGAAGAAGGUUUUCGGAUCGUAAAGCUCUGUUGUAAGUCAAGAACGUGUGUGAGAGUGGAAAGUUC